GGAAUAAAUGGAGGGGUACCUUCAAGGCCCAAGAAACACUCCCACUCUGGUUCCUGAGUAGCUGGGACCACACGUCCACAUUUCCAUCCUCUGCAACCUUGGCUUUAGCUUUAACUGAUUCCUUCUACAUCAGAAGAACAAUUUGGGCCGGUGAGAUGAUUAUCGAUAACGGUUAUUUUCACCAAACCUCACAACUGGUGUUCAAUCCCUGGGAUUCACAUGGUAGAAGAAGAAAAGCAAUUCCUGCAGGUCUUCCUAUGACCUC
Mus musculus (house mouse) is the source of this 265-nucleotide long non-coding RNA. RefSeq annotates it as predicted gene 12694. The record is from RefSeq and is a predicted model, not a curated record. The transcript is spliced from 3 exons. NCBI's taxonomy places the organism in Eukaryota, Metazoa, Chordata, Mammalia, Rodentia, Muridae.